GGGCACGGGGUUCCUCUCGGAGGGACGGGCGGAAAGUGCCCGUCAUCAAUGAUUCGGAGGCGGUGGUCGGCCGGUUCGGGGCUGGCGCUGCUCCC
RNAcentral lists this transfer RNA (95 nucleotides) under Rathayibacter tanaceti. RNAcentral's name for it is "tRNA-Thr". Lineage: Bacteria; Bacillati; Actinomycetota; Actinomycetes; Micrococcales; Microbacteriaceae. The record is from RNAcentral.